AGAUUAAGUUAUUAAGGGCGCACGGUGAAUACCUUGGCACUAGAAGCCGAAGAAGGACGUUACUAACGACGAUAUGCUUUGGGGAGCUGUAAGUAAGCUGUGAUCCAGAGAUUUCCGAAUGGGGAAACCCAGCACGAGUUAUGUCGUGUUAUCUACAUGUGAAUACAUAGCAUGUAAGAAGGCAGACCCGGAGAACUGAAACAUCUUAGUACCCGGAGGAAGAGAAAGAAAAAUCGAUUCCCUGAGUAGCGGCGAGCGAAACGGGAAGAGCCCAAACCAACAAGCUUGCUUGUUGGGGUUGUAGGACACUCUAUACGGAGUUACAAAAGGACAUGUUAGACGAAUAACCUGGAAAGGUUAAUCAUAGAAGGUAAUAAUCCUGUAGUCGAAAACGUGACCUCUCUUGAGUGGAUCCUGAGUACGGCGGAGCACGUGAAAUUCCGUCGGAAUCUGGGAGGACCAUCUCCUAAGGCUAAAUACUCUCUAGUGACCGAUAGUGAACCAGUACCGUGAGGGAAAGGUGAAAAGUACCCCGGAAGGGGAGUGAAAGAGAACUUGAAACCGUGUGCUUACAAGUAGUCAGAGCCCGUUAAUGGGUGAUGGCGUGCCUUUUGUAGAAUGAACCGGCGAGUUACGAUCUGAUGCAAGGUUAAGCAGAAAAUGUGGAGCCGUAGCGAAAGCGAGUCUGAAUAGGGCGAAUGAGUAUUUGGUCGUAGACCCGAAACCAGGUGAUCUACCCUUGGUCAGGUUGAAGUUCAGGUAACACUGAAUGGAGGACCGAACCGACUUACGUUGAAAAGUGAGCGGAUGAACUGAGGGUAGCGGAGAAAUUCCAAUCGAACUUGGAGAUAGCUGGUUCUCUCCGAAAUAGCUUUAGGGCUAGCCUCAAGUGAUGAUUAUUGGAGGUAGAGCACUGUUUGGACGAGGGGCCCCUCUCGGGUUACCGAAUUCAGACAAACUCCGAAUGCCAAAUAAUUUAACUUGGGAGUCAGAAUGUGGGUGAUAAGGUCCAUAUUCGAAAGGGAAACAGCCCAGACCACCAGCUAAGGUCCCAAAAUAUAUGUUAAGUGGAAAAGGAUGUGGCGUUGCCCAGACAACUAGGAUGUUGGCUUAGAAGCAGCCAUCAUUUAAAGAGUGCGUAAUAGCUCACUAGUCGAGUGACACUGCGCCGAAAAUGUACCGGGGCUAAACAUAUUACCGAAGCUGUGGAUUGUCCGUAGGACAAUGGUAGGAGAGCGUUCUAAGGGCGUUGAAGCAUGAUCGCAAGGACAUGUGGAGCGCUUAGAAGUGAGAAUGCCGGUGUGAGUAGCGAAAGACGGGUGAGAAUCCCGUCCACCGAUUGACUAAGGUUUCCAGAGGAAGGCUCGUCCGCUCUGGGUUAGUCGGGUCCUAAGCUGAGGCCGAAAGGCGUAGGCGAUGGAUAACAGGUUGAUAUUCCUGUACCACCUAAAUUCGGUUUUAAGCGAUGGGGGGACGCAGUAGGAUAGGCGAAGCGUGCUGUUGGAGUGCACGUCUAAGCAGUGAGAUUGAGUGUUAGGCAAAUCCGGCACUCGUAAAGAUUGAGCUGUGAUGGGGAGAAGAAACAAGUUUCUUCGAGUCGUUGAUUUCACACUGCCGAGAAAAGCCUCUAGCUAGAAAAUAGGUGCCCGUACCGCAAACCGACACAGGUAGUCAAGAUGAGAAUUCUAAGGUGAGCGAGCGAACUCUCGUUAAGGAACUCGGCAAAAUGACCCCGUAACUUCGGGAGAAGGGGUGCUCUUUAGGGUUCACGCUCUGAAGAGCCGCAGUGAAUAGGCCCAAGCGACUGUUUAUCAAAAACACAGGUCUCUGCUAAACCGUAAGGUGACGUAUAGGGGCUGACGCCUGCCCGGUGCUGGAAGGUUAAGAGGAGUGGUUAGCUUCUGCGAAGCUACGAAUCGAAGCCCCAGUAAACGGCGGCCGUAACUAUAACGGUCCUAAGGUAGCGAAAUUCCUUGUCGGGUAAGUUCCGACCCGCACGAAAGGCGUAACGAUUUGGGCACUGUCUCAACGAGAGACUCGGUGAAAUCAUAGUACCGGUGAAGAUGCCGGUUACCCGCGACAGGACGGAAAGACCCCGUGGAGCUUUACUGUAGCCUGAUAUUGAAAUUCGGUACAGUUUGUACAGGAUAGGUAGGAGCCAUAGAAGCGUGAGCGCUAGCUUACGUGGAGGCAUUGGUGGGAUACUACCCUAAUUGUAUUGGAUUUCUAACCCGCAGCACUUAGCGUGCUGGGAGACAGUGUCAGGCGGGCAGUUUGACUGGGGCGGUCGCCUCCUAAAGAGUAACGGAGGCGCUCAAAGGUUCCCUCAGAAUGG
This 2335-nucleotide ribosomal RNA is filed under the name Staphylococcus muscae. RNAcentral describes it as "bacterial LSU rRNA". It matches the Rfam family "Bacterial large subunit ribosomal RNA", at positions 1 to 2330 of the family's 2925-position model. Lineage: Bacteria; Bacillati; Bacillota; Bacilli; Caryophanales; Staphylococcaceae. The record is from RNAcentral.